CUGAAGCCUGUUCCCUUCUUCAUUUGUGAGACCAGCUCCCACUUUCUGUGUCCCGUGCACGCUGCAGCCUCUUCUGGAAACUUAACAUUGGGCUAGAUCAGUGCUCCCUCUCCAGCAUUGGUGGAGGGGUGUGGAGGGGAUCUGAGCAGCAGCUCUGAAGGACAAGGUGUAGGUACUUUGGGGCAACCUUCUGCUGAGGAGAAAGGGCUCAUACUGACGUGUAUUCCUUUCAAGUAGUUGUUCCUCCCUUUCCUUCCAAAAUGACACAUUUUGAAAGUGGAACAGGUCCAAGCAUGCAGAGAAGAGUGGAGAAUAACGUCGUGAGAUACACUCACCACGCUGUUUGCC
This 348-nucleotide long non-coding RNA is filed under the name Homo sapiens (human). Its description in RNAcentral is "HSALNT0133009". The record is from RNAcentral. Lineage: Eukaryota; Metazoa; Chordata; Mammalia; Primates; Hominidae.